Non-coding RNA from Podarcis raffonei (Aeolian wall lizard), 71 nucleotides. NCBI's taxonomy places the organism in Eukaryota, Metazoa, Chordata, Lepidosauria, Squamata, Lacertidae. The record is from the annotation of a RefSeq genome assembly.
GCCCCUAGCUCAGUCAGUAGAGUGUGAGACUCUGCAUCUCAGGGUCGUGGGUUUGAGCCCCACGUUGGGCA